UAGGGAAUCUUCCGCAAUGGGCGAAAGCCUGACGGAGCAACGCCGCGUGAGUGAUGAAGGUCUUCGGAUCGUAAAACUCUGUUAUUAGGGAAGAACAAAUGUGUAAGUAACUAUGCACGUCUUGACGGUACCUAAUCAGAAAGCCACGGCUAACUACGUGCCAGCAGCCGCGGUAAUACGUAGGUGGCAAGCGUUAUCCGGAAUUAUUGGGCGUAAAGCGCGCGUAGGCGGUUUUUUAAGUCUGAUGUGAAAGCCCACGGCUCAACCGUGGAGGGUCAUUGGAAACUUGAAAACUUGAGUGCAGAAGAGGAAAGUGGAAUUCCAUGUGUAGCGGUGAAAUGCGCAGAGAUAUGGAGGAACACCAGUGGCGAAGGCGACUUUCUGGUCUGUCACUGACGCUGAUGUGCGAAAGCGUGGGGAUCAAACAGG
RNAcentral lists this ribosomal RNA (429 nucleotides) under Actinomycetes bacterium. RNAcentral describes it as "Actinobacteria bacterium partial 16S ribosomal RNA". It matches the Rfam family "Bacterial small subunit ribosomal RNA", at positions 355 to 776 of the family's 1533-position model. The record is from RNAcentral. Lineage: Bacteria; Bacillati; Actinomycetota; Actinomycetes.